This 52-nucleotide small RNA is filed under the name Sinorhizobium meliloti 2011. RNAcentral's name for it is "putative ncRNA". Lineage: Bacteria; Pseudomonadati; Pseudomonadota; Alphaproteobacteria; Hyphomicrobiales; Rhizobiaceae. The record is from RNAcentral.
UUGUCGGCAUCGAGCAGGCGGAACCCCGCCAGCACGUCCCGGCUCGUGGAUU